This 509-nucleotide ribosomal RNA is filed under the name uncultured bacterium. Its description in RNAcentral is "bacterial SSU rRNA". It matches the Rfam family "Bacterial small subunit ribosomal RNA", at positions 791 to 1296 of the family's 1533-position model. The record is from RNAcentral.
UAGUCCACGCCCUAAACGAUGUACACUAGUUGUUGUGAGGCUAGACCUUGCAGUAAUGCAGUUAACACAUUAAGUGUACCGCCUGGGGAGUACGGUCGCAAGAUUAAAACUCAAAGGAAUAGACGGGGACCCGCACAAGCGGUGGAGCAUGUGGUUUAAUUCGACGAUACGCGAAGAACCUUACCUGGACUUGACAUAGAAAGAAUAACGCAGAGAUGUGAUAGUGCUAGCUUGCUAGAACUUUCAUACAGGUGCUGCACGGCUGUCGUCAGCUCGUGCCGUGAGGUGUUGGGUUAAGUCCCGCAACGAGCGCAACCCCUAUUUUCAGUUGCCAGCAAUUCGGUUGGGGACUCUGGAAAGACUGCCCGUGUAAGCGUGGAGGAAGGUGGGGACGACGUCAAAUCAUCAUGGCCUUUAUGCCUAGGGCUACACACGUGCUACAAUGGUAGAUACAAAGGGUUGCCAAGCCGCGAGGUGGAGCUAAUCCCAUAAAGUCUAUCCCAGUUCGG